AGAGCGGACAGGGCGAUGGCGGGUUCGCCGGGUGUGAAGCUUCACAGCGGUCCGGUGACCAAGUCGAGGAUUUUUCUGGUGGUCUAGUCUCAGAGAUUACAUCUGUAGUCAGCACAAUGAUUCCCUUCCAAGCCCAGUGGUGCCCCGUUGCCUCCAGGUCCCAGACCUUUAUGUGGACAAGAAAAGCUUACAGAGGAAAUGGUAAUUCUCCACUUGCACCCUGAGGUGUCCAGUUGCAGCCCAUGGAGAUCCAAUUCAAUUAUGAAUCUCAGGAACACCACCUUCUGUCAGAUGGUGAGAACAAGACCAAGAUUGGAAAGCCAGCUUCAGAGGAGGGAAUUACAGCAAAAAUUGAACCAUUGACAGAAGAGUCUAGCAGUCUCAGAGAGAAUGUUCUCCAGGAUUCUGAAGGCAGAGAAUUCUGUGAAUUUGGGGAUAAAUUAAAUGAAAAAGAUCAGAACGUCUUUAAAAGGAGACCUCAUAACUGUGAUGAAUAUGGGCAAAGCUUUGUUUGGAAUACAGGCCUUUUUAGGCAUCGAAAAACCCACUGUGAGAAACCUUAUGAAUGUGAUAAGUGUGGAAAGGCCUUUAGUGUGAGCUCAGCCCUGGUUCUGCAUCAGAGAAUUCACACUGGGGAGAAACCUUAUUCCUGUAAUUGGUGUAUUAAAAGUUUCAGUCGGAGCUCAGACCUUAUUAAACACCAAAGAGUCCACACUGGUGAAAAACCUUAUAAAUGUGAUGAGUGUGGGAAAGCCUUCAGUCAGAGCUCAGAUCUUAUUAUACAUCAGAGAAUCCAUACAGGAGAAAAACCCUAUCAAUGCAGUCAUUGUAGUAAAAGUUUUAGCCAGCGCUCAGAUCUGGUUAAACAUCAGAGAAUCCAUACUGGAGAGAAGCCUUAUACUUGUAACCAGUGUAACAAACAUUUUAGUCAGAGUUCUGAUGUGAUAAAACAUCAAAGAAUCCACACUGGGGAGAAACCAUAUAAAUGUGAUGUGUGUGCGAAAGCCUUCAGUCAGAGCUCAGAUCUUAUUCUGCAUCAGAGAAUUCACAGUGGGGAGAAACCAUAUCCAUGUAAUCAGUGUAGCAAAAGUUUCAGUCAGAAUUCAGACCUUAUUAAACAUCGAAGGAUCCACACUGGAGAGAAACCCUAUAAAUGUAAUGAAUGUGGGAAAGCUUUUAAUCAGAGCUCAGUCCUUAUUUUACAUCAGAGGAUUCAUACUGGAGAGAAACCCUAUCCCUGUGAUCAAUGUAGCAAAACCUUCAGUAGGCUUUCAGAUCUUAUUAAUCAUCAACGAAUUCACACUGGAGAGAAGCCUUACCCAUGUAAUCAGUGCAAUAAAAUGUUUAGUCGAAGAUCAGAUCUUGUUAAACAUCACAGAAUUCAUACAGGUGAGAAACCCUAUGAAUGUGAUGAAUGUGGGAAAACCUUUAGUCAGAGCUCCAACCUUAUUCUUCAUCAGAGAAUCCACACUGGAGAGAAACCUUAUCCAUGUAGUGAUUGUACUAAAAGCUUUAGUCGCCGUUCAGAUCUUGUUAAGCAUCAAAGAAUACACACUGGAGAGAAACCAUAUGCAUGUAAUCAGUGUGAUAAAAGUUUUAGUCAAAGCUCAGACCUCACUAAACAUCAGAGAGUACACUCUGGUGAAAAGCCUUAUCAUUGCAAUAGUUGUGAGAAAGCCUUCAGUCAGAGUUCUGACCUUAUUCUUCAUCAGAGAAUUCACACUGGAGAAAAACCAUAUCUAUGCACACAGUGCAGCAAAAGUUUCAGUCAGAACUCAGACCUCAUUAAACACCAGAGAAUCCACACUGGGGAAAAACCAUAUAAAUGUAGUGAGUGCAGGAAGGCUUUCAGUCAGUGCUCAGCUCUUACCCUACACCAGAGAAUCCACACUGGGGAGAAACCAAAUCCAUGUGAUGAGUGUGGCAAAAGCUUUAGUCGGCAUUCUGAUCUCAUUAACCAUCAAAAAAUACACACUGGUGAAAAGCCGUAUAAGUGUGAUGCAUGUGGGAAAGCCUUUAGCACAUGCACAGAUCUUAUUGAACACCAGAAAAUCCAUGCUGGGGAGAAACCCUACCGUUGUGUUCAAUGCAGCAGAAGUUUUAGCCAACUCUCAGAACUUACUAUUCAUGAGGAAGUCCAUUGUGGAGAAGACAGUCAAAAUGUGAUGAAUGUGAGAAAACCUUUAGUGUAUACAUCAACUCUAUUCAGUACCAGAGACACUGUACCAGGAAAAAAUCUAAUGAAUGCUGUUGAUUAUUGAUGAGUAUGAAAAAGGUUUUAAUCAGUGUUCAACUCUUAUGCUACAUUUAAACCACACUGGAUCCGGAUACGUGUGGUGACUCACGCCUGUAAUCCCAACACUUUGGGAGGCAGAUGUGGAAGCAUCAUUUGAGCCCAGGAGUUUGAGGCUGCAGUGAGCUAUGAUUCCACCAUUGUGCUCCAGUCUGGGCAACAGAGCAAGACCCUGUCUAUUAAAAAAAAAAACAAAAAAACACCAGUACCACACGGGAGAAAACAUUAAUUCAGUUUUUGUAAUGAAAGGUUAACUCAGAGCUCAGACAUUACUAAAAUUAAGAAAAAUUCUCCAGCCUGGCCAACAUGGUGAAACCCUGUCUCUACCAAAAAAUAAAAAAUAAUUAGCUGGGCAUGGUGGCAGGCGCCUGUAGUCCCAGUUAUUCGGGAGGCUGAGGCAUGAGAAUCACUUGAACCUGGGAGUUGGGGGUUGCAGUGAGCCGAGAUCUGCCAUUGCAUUCCAGCCUGGGCAACAGAGUGAGACUCUGUCUCAAAAAAAAAAAAAAAGAAGAAAAACAAAAAUUCUGAGGAAGAGUCCUGUGAGUUGUGGGAAAACCUUCAAUGUGAAAAACAUUUUUACUGAAUGUCAGUAUACCACAAUAGAAACAAAUUUCUAUCUAUAAUAGCCAGAAUUUUCUGCUCUUAUGAUACUGAUGAUUCUCUAAGAUUGCACCAUCCACCCUGGAGGUUGCUGACUCCCACUUGAUUGCUGGCCUGCCACUCAUCCUGUGCUGUUUUCUUGGAGCCUGACCUCCUCAGUGAUUGCUGCUGGAGAGGCUGAAUGGUGCAACCUGGAAGUGCGGAGUAGCUGAUGCUCUGUGGUGGAAACCGACCAGAUGGAGAGAGGAGUCUGCAGAGAAGUCUUCUCUUUCUUCCUCACCCCAUAGUAAGGUAAGAUGCAGUACUUUAGUUCACAUGGCUUGUGUCUUGAAAAUGAUCAGUGAGACUAAGCAAACAGGUGUGCCUUUAGAAGCUACAGACAGCUCAGUAACACCUACUCAUAUUUGCUUUCUCUCCUCUGCUUCACUUCUCAUUUACCUUCAGUCAUGCUUUUCUUGAAUUGCAUCACCCUAAUAUUGUCUUAGUAAUAAGGUUUUGUCUUAGGCCCUAUUUUCUCAGGAAUCCAGACUAAGACAGGUUUCAUAGUGGAGAUGUUUAUUAGGCAAAGGGAUACAUGAGUCUGAAGUUCAGAGAAGAGGUCUCUGGGCUGGGGAUAUAGAUUUUGGAUUUGUAGAUAGUAUUUAACAAGAUAAGACCAUGAGAUCAACUAGGAAGUGGAUAUAGCUAGAAAAGAAAAGAGAGCUGAACACUGAGCCCUCAGGCACUCCAAUAUGUAGAAAGAAGUCCAGAGAGGUGAGGAAAUACCAGCAUUGAGACUGAGAAGAAACAGCUCAUAAGGUAGAGGGAAAUCAAGAGUGUUGUUCUGGAAGCCAAACUAAAAUAUGUCAAUUAUACAAAAUACUAUUCAUUGGUAAGCAAUGUAAGUCUGAGAAAUGAGAACUGGAAUCAUCAACACUGAGGUUAUCAAACUUGGCUAGAACUCUAUGUUGAGAAAAAUUGUAUAAUAUAUAGUAAUGUCACACCUCUCAUUCCUGAUAUAAUUUGUAUCUUCUUUUUCUCCUGAUCAGUUUGGCUAGAAGUUUAUCAAUUUUACUAUUAUUUUUACAAGAUACUUUUGGUUUAAAUUGAGUACAGAAAUUCAUUUUUUGCUCUUGUUUUUCUGUUUCCUAUUUUAUUGAUUUCAAAUCUAAUCUUUAUUUCUUUUCCUCUCUUUAUCUUGGGUUUACUUUAUUCUUAUUCUAUCUUAUUAAGUUGGAAGCUGAGGUAAUUGAGAACUUUUUUCUACUAUAAUUGCUUUAUUGCUAUGAAUUUCUCUCUAAGUAAUACUUUGGCUGUAUCUCAUAGAUGAUGAUGAAGUUAAUGAUGAUGAUAAUAAUUUUAAUAUAUAUUUUUUGAAGAACUGUUUUAGGUUCACAGCAAAAUGGAGCAGAAGGUACAGAGAUUUCCCAUAUAUGCCCUACCCCCACACAUGCAUAGCCUCAUCCAUUGUCAACAUCCCCCACCAGAGUGGUAUAUUUGUUACAACUGAUGAGCCUACGUUAACACUACAUUAUCACCCCAAAUCCAUAAUUUACAUUAGGGUUCACUUUUGGUGUUGUACACUACAAGGGUUUCGACAAAUUUAUGACAUAUAUCUACUAUUAUAAUAUAUACAGU
This 4510-nucleotide small RNA is filed under the name Pongo abelii (Sumatran orangutan). Its description in RNAcentral is "processed transcript". Lineage: Eukaryota; Metazoa; Chordata; Mammalia; Primates; Hominidae. The record is from RNAcentral.